RNAcentral lists this non-coding RNA (28 nucleotides) under Mus musculus (house mouse). Lineage: Eukaryota; Metazoa; Chordata; Mammalia; Rodentia; Muridae. The record is from RNAcentral.
UGGCAAACCAGUUAAAUGAGUUACAUUC